Molecule: non-coding RNA, 140 nt
Organism: Manis pentadactyla (Chinese pangolin)
Lineage: Eukaryota; Metazoa; Chordata; Mammalia; Pholidota; Manidae
Product: small Cajal body-specific RNA 21
Exons: 1
Source: RefSeq, a predicted model, not a curated record
UGGCUCGGUUUCCUGGGACGUGGGUUCAGCCUACUCCACCUCCCCUCAGACGAGCCUAGAGCAGAGAGGCCAGGCAUCCUCCCCCAUCAGAGAGGUGGUUAAGACAGGAGCAUCACUUCUACUGUCCUUGCCUCACAUUU